Molecule: non-coding RNA, 98 nt
Filed under: human gut metagenome
Description: SAM riboswitch (S box leader)
Rfam family: SAM riboswitch aptamer (S box leader)
About the family: The SAM riboswitch is found upstream of a number of genes which code for proteins involved in methionine or cysteine biosynthesis in Gram-positive bacteria. The SAM riboswitch acts at the level of transcription termination control. The predicted structure consists of a complex stem-loop region followed by a single stem loop terminator region.
Source: RNAcentral
GCUUAUCCGGAGUGGUGGAGGGACAGGGCCCUGUGAAACCCGGCAACCGGCUGUUACAGCAUCGGUGCUAAUUCCCCCGACACCUGUCGGAAGAUAAG